Molecule: ribosomal RNA, 1372 nt
Filed under: uncultured bacterium
Lineage: Bacteria
Description: bacterial SSU rRNA
Rfam family: Bacterial small subunit ribosomal RNA
Source: RNAcentral
GGACGAACGCUGGCGGCGUGGAUUAGGCAUGCAAGUCGGACGGUAGGACUUUAUCGUAAGAUAGAGUUUGAGAGUGGCGAACGGGUGAGUAAUACGUAGGAAUCUACCCUUAAGACGGGGACAACUCAGGGAAACUUGGGCUAAUACCGGAUGCGAGUGUAUGAGAGUACAUUUAAAAGGAUGGUGAAAGCUAUCGCUUAGGGAUGAGCCUGCGGUCUAUUAGCUAGUUGGUGGGGUAAGAGCUCACCGAGGCGAUGAUAGAUAGGCGGCCUUAACGGGUGGUCGCCCACACUGGGAUUGAGAUACGGCCCAGACUCCUACGGGAGGCAGCAGUCGAGAAUAGUCUACAAUGGCCGGAAGGCUGAUAGUGCGACGCCGCGUGAACGAGGGAGCCCUUCGGGGUGUAAAGUUCUUUUCUAUACGAGCAGUGCUAUAUAUAUUCAAAGUAUAUAUAGAGGGAUAGUAGUAUAGGAAUAAGCAACGGCUAACUCCGUGCCAGCAGCCGCGGUAACACGGGGGUUGCGAGCGUUGUCCGGAAUUACUAGGCGUAAAGGGCAGGUAGGCGGAUCUACGAGUUUUUUGUUAAAGGCUACGGCUCAACUGUAGUAAGGCAGGAGAUACUGUAGGUCUGGAAUGCGGUAGGGGAAGACAGAAUUCCUGGUGUAGCGGUGGAAUGCGCAGAGAUCAGGAGGAAUACCGAAGGCGAAGGCAGUCUUCUAGGCCGUAAUUGACGCUUAACUGCGAAGGUGUGGGGAUCAAACAGGAUUAGAUACCCUGGUAGUCCACACAGUAAACGAUAAUCACUAGAUGUCGGAUUCUAGAUGGAUUCGGUGUCGGAGCUAACGCGAUAAGUGAUUCGCCUGGGGAGUACGAUCGCAAGGUUGAAACUCAAAGGAAUUGACGGGGGCCCGCACAAGCGGUGGAGUAUGUGGUUUAAUUCGACGCAACGCGAAGAACCUUACCAAGACUUGACAUUGAUUGAAAAGCUAAGAGAUUAGCUCCUCUUCUUCGGAAGACAAGAAAACAGGUGGUGCAUGGCUGUCGUCAGCUCGUGUCGUGAGAUGUUGGGUUAAGUCCCGCAACGAGCGCAACCCCUAUCCUAUGUUGCCAGCGAGUAAUGUCGGGAACUCAUGGGAGACUGCCGCAGACAAUGCGGAGGAAGGCGGGGAUGACGUCAAGUCAUCAUGCCCCUUAUGUCUUGGGCUACACACGUACUACAAUGGACUUAAAUAGAGGGAAGCAAUACCGCGAGGUGGAGCCAAACCCAGAAACAAGUUCUCAGUUCGGAUUGUAGGCUGCAACUCGCCUACAUGAAGUCGGAAUCGCUAGUAAUCGCAGGUCAGCAUACUGCGGUGAAUACGUUCCCGGGCCU